CAGCAGCCGCGGGAAUACGAAGGGUGCAAGCGUUACUCGGAAUUACUGGGCGUAAAGCGUGCGUAGGUGGUGGUUUAAGUCCGUUGUGAAAGCCCUGGGCUCAACCUGGGAAUUGCAGUGGAUACUGGGUCACUAGAGUGUGGUAGAGGAUAGUGGAAUUUCCGGUGUAGCAGUGAAAUGCGUAGAGAUCGGAAGGAACAUCUGUGGCGAAGGCGACUAUCUGGGCCAACACUGACACUGAGGCACGAAAGCGUGGGGAGCAAACAGGAUUAGAUACCCGUGUAGUCCCUGUCUCUAUACA
This 301-nucleotide ribosomal RNA is filed under the name uncultured bacterium. RNAcentral describes it as "partial 16S ribosomal RNA". It matches the Rfam family "Bacterial small subunit ribosomal RNA", at positions 509 to 808 of the family's 1533-position model. The record is from RNAcentral.